CUUCACCGAGCCCAGCCACAGCGGCCGUUCCGCGCUGUGUCCGGCGCCGUAGGUGGCGAUGAUCGCCUGUGCCUC
RNAcentral lists this antisense RNA (75 nucleotides) under Streptomyces sp. S4.7. Its description in RNAcentral is "ASpks TB sRNA". It matches the Rfam family "ASpks TB sRNA". Lineage: Bacteria; Bacillati; Actinomycetota; Actinomycetes; Kitasatosporales; Streptomycetaceae. The record is from Rfam by way of RNAcentral.